RNAcentral lists this ribosomal RNA (272 nucleotides) under uncultured Lachnospiraceae bacterium. Its description in RNAcentral is "partial 16S ribosomal RNA". It matches the Rfam family "Bacterial small subunit ribosomal RNA", at positions 69 to 339 of the family's 1533-position model. The record is from RNAcentral. Lineage: Bacteria; Bacillati; Bacillota; Clostridia; Lachnospirales; Lachnospiraceae.
AUUCUUCGGAUGAUUCUUAACUGACUGAGCGGCGGACGGGUGAGUAACGCGUGGGUGACCUGCCCCAUACCGGGGGAUAACAGCUGGAAACGGCUGCUAAUACCGCAUAAGCGCACAGAGCUGCAUGGCUCGGUGUGAAAAACUCCGGUGGUAUGAGAUGGACCCGCGUCUGAUUAGCUAGUUGGUGGGGUAACGGCCUACCAAGGCGACGAUCAGUAGCCGGCCUGAGAGGGUGAACGGCCACAUUGGGACUGAGACACGGCCCAAACUCC